GGGGCUAUAGCUCAGCUGGCUAGAGCACUUGCCUGGCAGGCAAGGGGUCAGGGGUUCGAAUCCCCUUAGCUCCA
Molecule: transfer RNA, 74 nt
Filed under: Cryomorphaceae bacterium
Lineage: Bacteria; Pseudomonadati; Bacteroidota; Flavobacteriia; Flavobacteriales; Cryomorphaceae
Rfam family: tRNA
About the family: Transfer RNA (tRNA) molecules are approximately 80 nucleotides in length. Their secondary structure includes four short double-helical elements and three loops (D, anti-codon, and T loops).
Source: Rfam by way of RNAcentral